This 224-nucleotide unclassified non-coding RNA is filed under the name Hevea brasiliensis (rubber tree). The record is from RNAcentral. Lineage: Eukaryota; Viridiplantae; Streptophyta; Magnoliopsida; Malpighiales; Euphorbiaceae.
UGGAGAGUGUUACCAAUGUCAUGGAGUAUGAAAUCCUAGCAAAAAAGAGGUUACCCAAAAUGAUAUACGAUUAUUAUGCCUCUGGUGCAGAGGACCAGUGGACACUCCAAGAGAAUCGAAAUGCGUUCUCUAAGAUUUUGUAAGUACUUCUAUAAAGGUUCAGGCCCCGUAUUCUUGUAGACGUUAGCAAUAUUGAUACAACCACCAGUGUCUUGGGAUAUAAG